Molecule: long non-coding RNA, 1571 nt
Organism: Chenopodium quinoa (quinoa)
Lineage: Eukaryota; Viridiplantae; Streptophyta; Magnoliopsida; Caryophyllales; Amaranthaceae
Exons: 2
Source: RefSeq, a predicted model, not a curated record
AAGAUAUACUAGUAGAUGUUUUAAUACAUGUCUUGAACACUGAUCCCGAUCAAAUGGGGCAAAAAAAUACUAAAGAAUUAAGGGAAUAAUAUUUUUGUACAUGAAUGUACAACAUACAAACACACACGGAUCACCACUCUCAACCAUAGAUUAAAAAAUCAAUGGUUAGAUUCUUCUCCCACAACACACACGGAUCACCACUCUCAACCAUAGAUUAAAAAAAUCAAUGGUUAGAUUCUUCCUCCCACAACACACACAGAUCACCAUUAUGAACCAUAGAUUAAAAAACCAAUGGUUAGAUUUACAUGAAACCCUUUCACUCUCACUCUCACUUUACCACUCUCACUUUACCACUCCCGGGCUCACGGCGCCUCUCAUUCUCAUGGGCUCAGCGCCUCUCCGUCUCCCUCAUACAUUCAUUCACGGCGGACCUUGAAGCUGUCCUGAUUCUGCCUCUUUCUCAUCGGUGUUUGCUGCCCUAAAUCUCCAAAUUCAGUAAUGGAGCAAGGGUUUGGAAAUUAUGAUGAGCAAACUAUAGAUUCUCAAGACACUGUUCAGAAUCAAGAUUCUUCUCAACAACAAGUCACUACCACUAUGUUUGAAUUCGAAAAUUAUGAUGAUAUAUUGUUUGAAUUUGGAUGUUUCUGCUUUUCUUUGGAAAUAAUGGUGGCAUUCAUAAUCAAAAAUCGUUCGCAAGACAUGGAGACUGAACUUUCUAAAUUAAUGUUGAUAAUAAGCGAGUUCUGUUGGUUCCAUUAUACUGCAAUUUACAAAUUAUCAGGGCUAUGCUCAAUUGUAUUUAUCGUGGAAUAUUUUCAAUAGUCAAAUUAUAGUUGAAUCUGAAUUAAAACAUAGCCUAAUAGUAUAUUCAUGUCACUAGCACACUCCCAUCUUUAUUUCAUUAUUACUCACAGAAUUAAUAUAAUCAUAUGCUUAAUAGUCUCUGUGAAUUAAUUUUAUUUAUUACGCCUUCAGCCAAGCCUUGGUACUUAAUAUUACAAGCUUUUUGUUCAUUUGGUUUCAUCACCUCAAAUGUAUACAUGACUAGAGGCAGUAGUGUUGCUAAUAGUUUGAGGCAGGGCCUGAGCCUGCUUGUUUUGCUCUUGUUUGUGAGCACUGAUUAUCCUUAAUGAAUGAUUUGCCUUGCUAUUUUUUAAAAAAUAUUCUAAGAUUUCUAAUAUUUAAUCUAUUUAAUUAUAUUCCCGUCAAAAAAAAAAAAAUCCAUUUAAUUAUAUAAAAAAUUUUGUAAACGGUUCGAUUUAGAAGCGGUUUGGUUCAUAAACGGUUCAGUUCGGUUUACAAUCAGUUCGGUUUUUAAAUGGUUCGGUGCAAACGGCUAGCAGUUUGCUAACGGUUCGGUGUAAGCGGUUUUUUUGCCAGUUUAAACGGUUUCGGGUUGGAACCGGUUUUGGGUUAGAUAUGGUUCGGUUCUUUUUCGGUUCGGUUUUCUUUCAGUUCGUUUUAUAUUUGGUUCAGUUUGUUAACGGGUUCGGUUCUUAUACGGUUUAACAUUAUUCGGGUCGAUUCGGUUUCGGGUUUACUAAAAUACGGUUCGGGUCGGUUUUCGGUUU